Molecule: ribosomal RNA, 253 nt
Filed under: uncultured bacterium
Lineage: Bacteria
Description: partial 16S ribosomal RNA
Rfam family: Bacterial small subunit ribosomal RNA
Source: RNAcentral
UACGUAGGUGGCAAGCGUUGUCCGGAUUUACUGGGCGUAAAGAGCGCGCAGGCGGUCGGAUAAGUCGAAUGUGAAAGCCCCUGGCUCAACCAGGGAGGGUCAUUCGAUACUGUUCGACUCGAAGGCAGGAGAGGGAAGCGGAAUUCCCGGUGUAGUGGUGAAAUGCGUAGAUAUCGGGAGGAACACCAGUGGCGAAGGCGGCUUUCUGGCCUGUUCUUGACGCUGAGGCGCGAAAGCUAGGGGAGCAAACGGG